UUGCAGGCUGCAACUCGCCUGCAUGAAGUCGGAAUUGCUGUAAUCGCAGAUCAGCAUGCUGCGGUGAAUACGUUCCCGGGCCUUGUACACACCGCCCGUCACACCAUGGGAGUCGGUAACACCCGAAGUCGGUAGCCUAACCGUAAGGAGGGCGCCGCCGAAGGUGGGAUUGAUGACUGGGGUGAAGUCGUAACAAGGUAAC
RNAcentral lists this ribosomal RNA (202 nucleotides) under uncultured bacterium. RNAcentral describes it as "partial 16S ribosomal RNA". It matches the Rfam family "Bacterial small subunit ribosomal RNA", at positions 1298 to 1500 of the family's 1533-position model. The record is from RNAcentral.